RNAcentral lists this ribosomal RNA (490 nucleotides) under uncultured bacterium. Its description in RNAcentral is "partial 16S ribosomal RNA". It matches the Rfam family "Bacterial small subunit ribosomal RNA", at positions 30 to 507 of the family's 1533-position model. The record is from RNAcentral.
AUUGAACGCUGGCGGCAGGCCUAACACAUGCAAGUCGAACGGUAACAGGAAACAGCUUGCUGUUUCGCUGACGAGUGGCGGACGGGUGAGUAAUGUCUGGGAAACUGCCUGAUGGAGGGGGAUAACUACUGGAAACGGUAGCUAAUACCGCAUAACGUCGCAAGACCAAAGAGGGGGACCUUCGGGCCUCUUGCCAUCGGAUGUGCCCAGAUGGGAUUAGCUAGUAGGUGGGGUAACGGCUCACCUAGGCGACGAUCCCUAGCUGGUCUGAGAGGAUGACCAGCCACACUGGAACUGAGACACGGUCCAGACUCCUACGGGAGGCAGCAGUGGGGAAUAUUGCACAAAGGGCGCAAGCCUGAUGCAGCCAUGCCGCGUGUAUGAAGAAGGCCUUCGGGUUGUAAAGUACUUUCAGCGGGGAGGAAGGGAGUAAAGUUAAUACCUUUGCUCAUUGACGUUACCCGAAGAAGAAGCACCGGCUAACUCCGUG